GUCCUAGCCCUAAACGAUGAAGACUUGGUAUUGCGGGUACCAAUCCUGCCGUGCCGGAGUUAACGCAGUAAGUCUUCCGCCUGGGGAGUACGGUCGCAAGGCUGAAACUCAAAGUAAUUGACGGGGGCCCGCACAAGCGGUGGAGCAUGUGGUUCAAUUCGACGCAACGCGAAGAACCUUACCUGGGCUCGAAGCGCAGUGGAAUCCGGGUGAAAAUCCGGCGCCCGCAAGGGCCGCUGCGGAGGUGCUGCAUGGCUGUCGU
RNAcentral lists this ribosomal RNA (262 nucleotides) under uncultured bacterium. RNAcentral describes it as "partial 16S ribosomal RNA". It matches the Rfam family "Bacterial small subunit ribosomal RNA", at positions 793 to 1055 of the family's 1533-position model. The record is from RNAcentral.